This 775-nucleotide small RNA is filed under the name uncultured Chaetomium. RNAcentral describes it as "eukaryotic LSU rRNA". The stretch from base 516 to 775 matches the Rfam family "Eukaryotic large subunit ribosomal RNA", at positions 1 to 266 of the family's 3401-position model. Lineage: Eukaryota; Fungi; Ascomycota; Sordariomycetes; Sordariales; Chaetomiaceae. The record is from RNAcentral.
GGAAGUAAAAGUCGUAACAAGGUCUCCGUUGGUGAACCAGCGGAGGGAUCAUUACCGAGUUAUUACUCCAAACCCUUUGUGAACCUUACCAUUUUGUUGCUCGGCGUACCGCGGGCCGCGGCUUCGGCCCGUCCCGCAGCGCGCCAGAGGACCCAACUCUUCAAUUUAUAGCGUACCUUCUGAUUUACAAAACAAACAAGUUAAAACUUUCAACAACGGAUCUCUUGGUUCUGGCAUCGAUGAAGAACGCAGCGAAAUGCGAUAAGUAAUGUGAAUUGCAGAAUUCAGUGAAUCAUCGAAUCUUUGAACGCACAUUGCGCCCGCCAGUAUUCUGGCGGGCAUGCCUGUUCGAGCGUCAUUUCAACCAUCAAGCCCUGCUUGUGUUGGGGUCCUGCGGCUGCCCGCAGGCCCUGAAAACCAGUGGCGGGCUCGCUAGUCACACCGAGCGCAGUAGCACAUCUCGCUUUGGUCGUGCGGCGGGUUCUUGCCGUAAAACACCCCCCUUUUAUCAAGGUUGACCUCGGAUCAGGUAGGAAUACCCGCUGAACUUAAGCAUAUCAAUAAGCGGAGGAAAAGAAACCAACAGGGAUUGCCCUAGUAACGGCGAGUGAAGCGGCAACAGCUCAAAUUUGAAAUCUGGCUUCGGCCCGAGUUGUAAUUUGUAGAGGGAGCUUUUGGCGAGGCACCUACUGAGUCCCCUGGAACGGGGCGCCAUAGAGGGUGAGAGCCCCGUAUAGUAGGACGCCGAGCCUUUGUAAAGCCCCUUCGACGAGUC